This is a long non-coding RNA of Lutra lutra (Eurasian river otter), 446 nucleotides long. RefSeq lists it as uncharacterized. The record is from RefSeq and is a predicted model, not a curated record. Lineage: Eukaryota; Metazoa; Chordata; Mammalia; Carnivora; Mustelidae. The transcript is spliced from 4 exons.
AGUUGGCUUCAGAUGCUUCAGGAUGUUUUGGUCUUAAAUGUAUUCUGUGGGAUUAAGGAACUCCGAAAGCCCUGAUGUGAGCCUGAGAAUCUUGUGUAUCUUCCUCUGGUCCUACUCUUCCUGGUAAAUGGUUGAAGACAGAAGACUUAUUAUAGAUUUUACAUCCAGCCCAUGAGGAUUUUGACUGAUUCCACUGAGCAGGCUCAGCUGAAAUCCUGCCACAUCCUAGGACCACAUCAUAAGUUGCUGGAGGUAAUAUGAUUACUCUGAGCAAAUACAACACAAACUAGCAAGUGAUUGCAGUGUCCUGUGGAUAAGAAUCAGAAAAAAAAAAAACAGAAGAAUCGAGCUGGCAAAUUGCGUGAGAGAAGGCAGCUUUCCUUGGAGCAGGAAACCGUGUGUGGCAUGUGCACCCUGAGCAUUUCUCGCAUCCCAACUUUUGAUAG